RNAcentral lists this ribosomal RNA (389 nucleotides) under uncultured bacterium. RNAcentral's name for it is "bacterial SSU rRNA". It matches the Rfam family "Bacterial small subunit ribosomal RNA", at positions 29 to 419 of the family's 1533-position model. The record is from RNAcentral.
AUUGAACGCUGGCGGAAUGCUUUACACAUGCAAGUCGAGCGGCAGCGCGGGGGCAACCCUGGCGGCGAGCGGCGAACGGGUGAGUAAUACAUCGGAACAUGUCCAGUUGUGGGGGAUAGCCCGGCGAAAGCCGGAUUAAUACCGCAUGAGCUCUGGCGAGGAAAGCGGGGGACCGAAAGGCCUCGCGCGACUGGGUUGGCCGAUGUCCGAUUAGCUAGUUGGUGGGGUAAAGGCNCACCAAGGCGAUGAUCGGUAGCUGGUCUGAGAGGAUGAUCAGCCACACUGGGACUGAGACACGGCCCAGACUCCUACGGGAGGCAGCAGUGGGGAAUUUUGGACAAUGGGGGCAACCCUGAUCCAGCCAUUCCGCGUGAGUGAAGAAGGCCUGG